GGUGGCUCAAUGGUAGAGUGCUUGCUUCACAUGCAUGAGGGCCUGGGUUUGAUCCUUAGCACCA
Molecule: transfer RNA, 64 nt
Filed under: Dipodomys ordii (Ord's kangaroo rat)
Lineage: Eukaryota; Metazoa; Chordata; Mammalia; Rodentia; Heteromyidae
Rfam family: tRNA
About the family: Transfer RNA (tRNA) molecules are approximately 80 nucleotides in length. Their secondary structure includes four short double-helical elements and three loops (D, anti-codon, and T loops). Further hydrogen bonds mediate the characteristic L-shaped molecular structure. tRNAs have two regions of fundamental functional importance: the anti-codon, which is responsible for specific mRNA codon recognition, and the 3' end, to which the tRNAs corresponding amino acid is attached (by aminoacyl-tRNA synthetases). tRNAs cope with the degeneracy of the genetic code in two manners: having more than one tRNA (with a specific anti-codon) for a particular amino acid; and 'wobble' base-pairing, i.e. permitting non-standard base-pairing at the 3rd anti-codon position.
Source: Rfam by way of RNAcentral